RNAcentral lists this ribosomal RNA (1352 nucleotides) under uncultured bacterium. Its description in RNAcentral is "bacterial SSU rRNA". It matches the Rfam family "Bacterial small subunit ribosomal RNA", at positions 28 to 1381 of the family's 1533-position model. The record is from RNAcentral.
GAUGAACGCUAGCGGCAGGCCUAAUACAUGCAAGUCGAACGAUAUUUCCCAGCUUGCUGGGAGAAAAAGUGGCGCACGGGUGCGUAACGCGUAUGCAACCUACCUUAAUCAGGGGGAUAGCCCGAAGAAAUUCGGAUUAACACCGCAUAAAAUCACAGUAUAGCAUUAUACAAUGAUCAAAUAUUUAUAGGAUUAAGAUGGGCAUGCGUGACAUUAGUUAGUUGGCGGGGUAACGGCCCACCAAGACCACGAUGUCUAGGGGAUCUGAGAGGAUGACCCCCCACACUGGUACUGAGACACGGACCAGACUCCUACGGGAGGCAGCAGUAAGGAAUAUUGGUCAAUGGAGGCAACUCUGAACCAGCCAUGCCGCGUGCAGGAAGACAGCCCUCUGGGUCGUAAACUGCUUUUAUUCGGGAAUAAACCUCAUUACGUGUAUUGAGCUGAAUGUACCGAAGGAAUAAGGAUCGGCUAACUCCGUGCCAGCAGCCGCGGUAAUACGGAGGAUCCAAGCGUUAUCCGGAUUUAUUGGGUUUAAAGGGUGCGUAGGCGGCUUUUUAAGUCAGGGGUGAAAGACGGUAGCUCAACUAUCGCAGUGCCCUUGAUACUGAAGAGCUUGAAUGGACUAGAGGUAGGCGGAAUGUGACAAGUAGCGGUGAAAUGCAUAGAUAUGUCACAGAACACCGAUUGCGAAGGCAGCUUACUAUGGUUUAAUUGACGCUGAGGCACGAAAGCGUGGGGAUCAAACAGGAUUAGAUACCCUGGUAGUCCACGCCCUAAACGAUGAAUACUCGCUGUUAGCGAUACACAGUUAGCGGCUAAGCGAAAGCGUUAAGUAUUCCACCUGGGGAGUACGGUCGCAAGAUUGAAACUCAAAGGAAUUGACGGGGGCCCGCACAAGCGGAGGAGCAUGUGGUUUAAUUCGAUGAUACGCGAGGAACCUUACCCGGGCUUGAAAGUUAGUGAAUCAUUUAGAGAUAGAUGAGUCCGCAAGGACACGAAACUAGGUGCUGCAUGGCUGUCGUCAGCUCGUGCCGUGAGGUGUUGGGUUAAGUCCCGCAACGAGCGCAACCCCUAUGUUUAGUUGCCAGCACGUCAUGGUGGGGACUCUAAACAGACUGCCUGUGCAAACAGAGAGGAAGGAGGGGACGACGUCAAGUCAUCAUGGCCCUUACGUCCGGGGCUACACACGUGCUACAAUGGAUGGUACAGAGGGCAGCAAGCUGGUAACAGCAAGCAAAUCUCCAAAAGCCAUUCACAGUUCGGAUAGAGGUCUGCAACUCGACCUCUUGAAGUUGGAUUCGCUAGUAAUCGUAUAUCAGCAAUGAUACGGUGAAUACGUUCCCGGGCCU